CUGCUGCCUCCCGUAGGAGUCUGGGCCGUGUCUCAGUCCCAAUGUGGCCGUCCACCCUCUCAGGCCGGCUACUGAUCGUCGCCUUGGUAGGCCGUUACCCUGCCAACCAGCUAAUCAGACGCGGGCCCAUCUCGCACCACCUGGGUUUUCAGGGCAGGGGCAUGCGCCCCCGCCCGCUAUGCGGUGUUAGCACCUAUUUCUAAGUGUUAUCCCCCAGUGCGAGGCAGGUUGCCCACGCGUUACUCACCCGUCCG
Molecule: ribosomal RNA, 254 nt
Filed under: uncultured bacterium
Lineage: Bacteria
Description: partial 16S ribosomal RNA
Source: RNAcentral